This 253-nucleotide ribosomal RNA is filed under the name uncultured bacterium. Its description in RNAcentral is "partial 16S ribosomal RNA". It matches the Rfam family "Bacterial small subunit ribosomal RNA", at positions 524 to 776 of the family's 1533-position model. The record is from RNAcentral.
UACGAAGGGGGCUAGCGUUGCUCGGAAUUAUUGGGCGUAAAGAGCUCGUAGGCGGCCUGUUGCGUCCGCUGUGAAAGCCCGGGGCUUAACCCCGGGUCUGCAGUGGAUACGGGCAGGCUAGAGGUAGGUAGGGGAGAAUGGAAUUCCCGGUGUAGCGGUGAAAUGCGCAGAUAUCGGGAGGAACACCGGUGGCGAAGGCGGUUCUCUGGGCCUUACCUGACGCUGAGGAGCGAAAGCGUGGGGAGCGAACAGG